AUUGAACGCUGGCGGCAGGCUUAACACAUGCAAGUCGAGCGAGCGGCGGACGGGUGAGUAAUGUCUGGGAAACUGCCUGAUGGAGGGGGAUAACUACUGGAAACGGUAGCUAAUACCGCAUACCAUCAGCUGUGCCCAGAUGGGAUUAGCUAGUAGGUGGGGUAAUGUCUCACCUCGGCGACGAUCCCUAGCUGGUUUGAGAGGAUGCCCAGCCACACUGUAACUGAGACACGGGCGAGACUCCUACGUGAGGUAGCAGUGGGUAAUAUUGCACAAUGGGCGCAAGCCUGAUGCAGCCAUGCCGCGUGUGUGAAGAAGGCCUUCGGGUUGUAAAGCACUUUCAGCGAGGAGGCGUGACGCGCAGAAGAAGCACCGGCUAACUCCGUGACAGCAGCCGCGGUAAUUC
Molecule: ribosomal RNA, 406 nt
Filed under: uncultured bacterium
Lineage: Bacteria
Description: partial 16S ribosomal RNA
Rfam family: Bacterial small subunit ribosomal RNA
Source: RNAcentral